Molecule: unclassified non-coding RNA, 361 nt
Filed under: uncultured bacterium
Lineage: Bacteria
Description: contains 16S-23S intergenic spacer region
Source: RNAcentral
UCCCCCGUGAGGGGGCAGUCUCGCCUGACAUAUAAAACAGGCAACGAGGGUUGCGUUCGUUACCCCACUGAAGGGAACAACUCAAGCCACGAACUGACGACGACCAUGCAUCACCUGGCCUACUGCCUUGCGGGGGCCAAAGUUUCCUAAGGCUUACAGUAGACUUUCAAACCCUGGUGAGGUUCUUCGUUUGCCAUCGAAUUGAGCCGCAUGAUCCACCGCUUGUGCAAGUCCCCGUCUAUUCCUUUGAGUUUUAAUCUUGCGAUCGUACUACCCAGGCGCACGACUUAACGCGUUAGCUUCGCCACAAAGAGGGUCGAUACUCCUUAUAGCCAGUCGUGAUCGUUUAGGGCGUGGACUA